Molecule: long non-coding RNA, 675 nt
Organism: Notolabrus celidotus (New Zealand spotty)
Lineage: Eukaryota; Metazoa; Chordata; Actinopteri; Labriformes; Labridae
Exons: 3
Source: RefSeq, a predicted model, not a curated record
CAUUAAGUAGAAGCAUUUACUAGCAAUGCUCUGCUAUUCCUUGACAGCAAACAGUUGCUAUGAAGAACGGACCAUCAUCAUAUCAACGCCCAGGAAGAAUCAGACUUAGGGUGCACUGGAGCAAGCCACCGCAAAGCUGUCAGGGAGCUAACCGAGGAGAUGGAGAAGGCCAGCUUCUAGCUCUGGAUAAGGAGGAAGCAAGGAAGUUGGGGGCCAAAUAACACCUAAGGGCAUCAGCUUAUCACUCUGCCUCGGGGACAUGUACUGGGGUUAAAUGAGCAAAAACAUUGAUGACUGGUGGUCCCCAGCUGAUGACCUGAGCAGGCUCAUGGUGUUGGAAGAAGCAUCCCAGGAGGAGGUCCUGGAAGAGGACCUCUACACAUGGCACCUUAGGAGGUACAUCAGGCAGCAAUGCCCAGCAGUGUUCUUGUGUGUAUAUGUUGCACAGAGGAGAGCAGGCCUAGUGGAGUGAAGCUGGCCAAUGUGGUGUGGAAAGAGCUGCAGUCAAUGCUGCGGAGUCAAUGACCCCUGAGCCAGUGGGAAGCCCUGCAGGAGAAAACUCCACAAGUAUCCAGCAUCCACUGAGCACUGCUGGAGGCUGCUGCCGCUCCACACUCCACUCAUCCUGCUCAGCUCCCAGCUCUGCUGCUGGGACUAAAGGAAAACAUCAGUUCC